UACGUAGGGUGCAAGCGUUGUCCGGAAUUAUUGGGCGUAAAGAGCGUGUAGGCGGCCCGAUUAGUCUGCUGUGAAAACUCGAGGCUCAACCUCGAGAUGUCGGCGGAAACCGUCUGGCUAGAGUCCGGAAGAGGAGAGUGGAAUUCCUGGUGUAGCGGUGAAAUGCGCAGAUAUCAGGAAGAACACCUAUGGCGAAGGCAGCUCUCUGGGACGGUACUGACGCUGAGACGCGAAAGCGUGGGGAGCGAACAGG
Molecule: ribosomal RNA, 253 nt
Filed under: uncultured bacterium
Lineage: Bacteria
Description: partial 16S ribosomal RNA
Rfam family: Bacterial small subunit ribosomal RNA
Source: RNAcentral